GUCGUGAGAUGUUGGGUUAAGUCCCGCAACGAGCGCAACCCUCGUUCUAUGUUGCCAGCGAGUAAUGUCGGGGACUCAUAGGAGACUGCCGGGGUCAACUCGGAGGAAGGUGGGGAUGACGUCAAGUCAUCAUGCCCCUUAUGUCCAGGGCUGCACACAUGCUACAAUGGCCGGUACAAAGAGCUGCGAUACCGCAAGGUGGAGCGAAUCUCAUAAAGCCGGUCUCAGUUCGGAUUGGGGUCUGCAACUCGACCCCAUGAAGUCGGAGUCGCUAGUAAUCGCAGAUCAGCAACGCUGCGGUGAAUACGUUCCCGGGCCUUGUACACACCGCCCGUCACGUCACGAAAGUCGGUAACACCCGAAGCCGGUGGCCCAACCCUUGUGGAGGGAGCCGUCGAAGGUGGGAUUGGCGAUUGGGACGAAGUCGUAACAAGGUAGCCGUACCGGAAGGUGCGGCUGGAUCACCUCCUUUCUAAGGAGCACUAAGAGGCAGUCGUUCGCGGCUUGCCUCCAUUCUCCGUUCGCAGGCGUUCGUCCUGCGCGGAGUGCUCAAGGGUGGAACACUGACUAGUUCGGCCGAUCUUCAAGAGUGUCGUCAGUACAGCGGGUAACCGCCGGAACCUCGACUGCUCGAAGAACAUCGGCCGUAGGCACGCUGUUGAGUCCUGAGGGAGCGGAAAUUUCCGCCCUUCUGGGCUUUCGUCAUGUCCGGACUUUUCGUCGGAUGUGCGAUCAGCUCGUCCGGGCCUGGUGGUCAUCGAACGACAGCCUGUCGGCUGCACGCGAUGAGCAACUGCCAGGGUCGCCCGUACUUUGAGAACUGCACAGUGGACGCGAGCAUCAAUACUUUGUGGCCAAGUUAUUAAGGGCGCACGGUGGAUGCCUUGGCACCAGGAGCCGAUGAAGGACGUAAGGGGCUGCGAUAAGCCUCGGGGAGCUGCCGACUGAGCUUUGAUCCGAGGAUUU
RNAcentral lists this small RNA (966 nucleotides) under uncultured Frankiaceae bacterium. Its description in RNAcentral is "bacterial SSU rRNA". The stretch from base 1 to 472 matches the Rfam family "Bacterial small subunit ribosomal RNA", at positions 1064 to 1533 of the family's 1533-position model. The record is from RNAcentral. Lineage: Bacteria; Bacillati; Actinomycetota; Actinomycetes; Frankiales; Frankiaceae.